RNAcentral lists this ribosomal RNA (1408 nucleotides) under Escherichia coli. Its description in RNAcentral is "partial 23S ribosomal RNA". It matches the Rfam family "Bacterial large subunit ribosomal RNA", at positions 508 to 1921 of the family's 2925-position model. Lineage: Bacteria; Pseudomonadati; Pseudomonadota; Gammaproteobacteria; Enterobacterales; Enterobacteriaceae. The record is from RNAcentral.
GGAAAGGUGAAAAGUACCCCGGAAGGGGAGUGAAAGAGAACUUGAAACCGUGUGCUUACAAGUAGUCAGAGCCCGUUUAUGGGUGAUGGCGUGCCUUUUGUAGAAUGAACCGGCGAGUUACGAUCUGAUGCAAGGUUAAGCAGCGAAUGUGGAGCCGUAGCGAAAGCGAGUCUGAAUAGGGCGUUGAGUAUUUGGUCGUAGACCCGAAACCAGGUGAUCUACCCUUGGUCAGGUUGAAGUUCAGGUAACACUGAAUGGAGGACCGAACCGACUUACGUUGAAAAGUGAGCGGAUGAACUGAGGGUAGCGGAGAAAUUCCAAUCGAACUUGGAGAUAGCUGGUUCUCUCCGAAAUAGCUUUAGGGCUAGCCUCAAGUGAUGAUUAUUGGAGGUAGAGCACUGUUUGGACGAGGGGCCCCUCUCGGGUUACCGAAUUCAGACAAACUCCGAAUGCCAAUCAAUUUAACUUGGGAGUCAGAACAUGGGUGAUAAGGUCCGUGUUCGAAAGGGAAACAGCCCAGACCACCAGCUAAGGUCCCAAAAUAUAUGUUAAGUGGAAAAGGAUGUGGCGUUGCCCAGACAACUAGGAUGUUGGCUUAGAAGCAGCCAUCAUUUAAAGAGUGCGUAAUAGCUCACUAGUCGAGUGACACUGCGCCGAAAAUGUACCGGGGCUAAACAUAUUACCGAAGCUGUGGAUUGUCCUUCGGACAAUGGUAGGAGAGCGUUCUAAGGGCGUUGAAGCAUGAUCGCAAGGACAUGUGGAGCGCUUAGAAGUGAGAAUGCCGGUGUGAGUAGCGAAAGACGGGUGAGAAUCCCGUCCACCGAUUGACUAAGGUUUCCAGAGGAAGGCUCGUCCGCUCUGGGUUAGUCGGGUCCUAAGCUGAGGCCGACAGGCGUAGGCGAUGGAUAACAGGUUGAUAUUCCUGUACCACCUAGUAUCGUUUUAAUCGAUGGGGGGACGCAGUAGGAUAGGCGAAGCGUGCUGUUGGAGUGCACGUCCAAGCAGUAAGGCUGAGUGUUAGGCAAAUCCGGCACUCGUUAGGCUGAGCUGUGAUGGGGAGAGGAAAUUGUUUCCUCGAGUCGUUGAUUUCACACUGCCGAGAAAAGCCUCUAGAUAGAUAACAGGUGCCCGUACCGCAAACCGACACAGGUAGUCAAGAUGAGAAUUCUAAGGUGAGCGAGCGAACUCUCGUUAAGGAACUCGGCAAAAUGACCCCGUAACUUCGGGAGAAGGGGUGCUCUUUAGGGUUCACGCCCAGAAGAGCCGCAGUGAAUAGGCCCAAGCGACUGUUUAUCAAAAACACAGGUCUCUGCUAAACCGUAAGGUGAUGUAUAGGGGCUGACGCCUGCCCGGUGCUGGAAGGUUAAGAGGAGUGGUUAGCUUCUGCGAAGCCACGAAUCGAAGCCCC